RNAcentral lists this unclassified non-coding RNA (313 nucleotides) under air metagenome. RNAcentral describes it as "partial contains small subunit ribosomal RNA, internal transcribed spacer 1, and 5.8S ribosomal RNA". The stretch from base 1 to 46 matches the Rfam family "Eukaryotic small subunit ribosomal RNA", at positions 1786 to 1831 of the family's 1831-position model. The record is from RNAcentral.
AAGUCGUAACAAGGUUUCCGUAGGUGAACCUGCGGAAGGAUCAUUAUAGAAUAAACUUGGUUAGGUUGUUGCUGGCUCCUUGGAGCAUGUGCACGCCUAGCACCAAUUUUACCACCUGUGCACCUUUUGUAGACUAUGGAAUAUAUUUCUCGAGGAUAACUCGGAUUGAGGUUUGCUGUACGAAAGUCAGCUUUCCUUGUAUGUUCCUAGUCUACGUUUUUAUAUACUCCAUAUGAAUGUAAUAGAAUGUAUUGACAGGCCUCUGUGCCUUUAAUUAUAAACAUAACUUUCAACAACGGAUCUCUUGGCUCUC